This 985-nucleotide ribosomal RNA is filed under the name uncultured organism. Its description in RNAcentral is "bacterial SSU rRNA". It matches the Rfam family "Bacterial small subunit ribosomal RNA", at positions 104 to 1091 of the family's 1533-position model. The record is from RNAcentral.
GGGUGAGUAAUACAUAUGCAACUUGCCCGUAGCUGGAGGAUAGCUUCCGGAAACGGAAAUUAAUACUCCAUAAUAUCCUAAUAUCGCAUGUUAUAAGGAUUAAAGUUUCGACGGCUACGGAUGGGCAUAUGUCCCAUUAGCUUGUUGGUGAGGUAACGGCUCACCAAGGCUACGAUGGGUAGGGGGCCUGAGAGGGUGAUCCCCCACACUGGUACUGAGACACGGACCAGACUCCUACGGGAGGCAGCAGUGAGGAAUAUUGGUCAAUGGGCGAAAGCCUGAACCAGCCAUGCCGCGUGCAGGAUGACUGUCCUAUGGAUUGUAAACUGCUUUUCUGCAGGAAGAAACGCUUCUACGUGUAGAGGUUUGACGGUACUGCAGGAAUAAGCAUCGGCUAACUCCGUGCCAGCAGCCGCGGUAAUACGGAGGAUGCAAGCGUUAUCCGGAUUCAUUGGGUUUAAAGGGUGCGUAGGCGGAUUGGUAAGUCAAAGGUGAAAGUCUGUAGCUUAACUAUAGAAGUGCCUUUGAUACUGCUAGUCUUGAGUACAGUUGAGGCGAGUGGAAUGUGUAGUGUAGCGGUGAAAUGCAUAGAUACUACACAGAACACCAAUUGUGAAGACAGCUCGCUAAGCUGCUACUGACGCUCAGGCACGAAAGCGUGGGGAGCGAACAGGAUUAGAUACCCUGGUAGUCCACGCUGUAAACUAUGAUCACUAGCUGUUGGCGAUAAAUUGUCAGUGGCUGAGCGAAAGCGUUAAGUGAUCCACCUGGGGAGUACGAUCGCAAGGUUGAAACUCAAAGGAAUUGACGGGGGCCCGCACAAGCGGUGGAACAUGUGGUUUAAUUCGAUGAUACGCGAGGAACCUUACCUGGGCUUAAAUGUAGAAGGACGUCCUGAGAAAUCGGGAUUCCCUUCGGGGCGGAGUACAAGGUGUUGCAUGGUUGUCGUCAGCUCGUGCCGUGAGGUAUCGGGUUAAGUCCCAUA